AGAACGAAACGCUGGCGGCAAGCCUAACACAUGCAAGUCGAACGGACAAUUAUUUAUAGCCUCUGGCUAUAGGAAAUUGUUAGUGGCAGACGGGUGAGUAAUGCGUAGGAAUCUACCUAGUAGUACGGAAUAGCCAUUAGAAAUGGUGGGUAAUACUGUAUAAUCCCCGAGGGGGAAAGAUUUAUCGCUAUUAGAUGAGCCUACGUUAGAUUAGCUAGUUGGUGAGGUAAUGGCUUACCAAGGCUAUGAUCUAUAGCUGGUCUGAGAGGACGAUCAGCCACACUGGAACUGAGAUACGGUCCAGACUCCUACGGGAGGCAGCAGUGGGGAAUAUUGGACAAUGGGCGAAAGCCUGAUCCAGCUAUGCCGCGUGAGUGAAGAAGGCCUUCGGGUUGUAAAACUCUUUCAAUAGGGAAGAUAAUGAUGGUACC
This 431-nucleotide ribosomal RNA is filed under the name Ehrlichia canis. Its description in RNAcentral is "bacterial SSU rRNA". It matches the Rfam family "Bacterial small subunit ribosomal RNA", at positions 32 to 479 of the family's 1533-position model. Lineage: Bacteria; Pseudomonadati; Pseudomonadota; Alphaproteobacteria; Rickettsiales; Anaplasmataceae. The record is from RNAcentral.